ACCGGGGAAGAGGAUAGGGUGAUUUAGAGGUAACAAAAAUCACUUUCAAUAUGCUGGUCUUAUAUCAAUGAAUCACGGUCCAAGUGAUAUGCCAAAUUCGAGCCAAGGCUUCAACAAAAAAUAUUUAUCAUUUAUUCACAACACUUUCAAAGAAACUGCUAAUCUCCCAUACAGCAUGGAUACAAUAAUUUGUGAUCUUUAUAAUGCUCAUGAUUUUCUUCCGAGAAUAAUGACCGACAUAGCAAUCUUGAAUUAGAAAUAAAGUAAAAUACACAAUCUGCAAGCAAGAACUAGCUAAAUACCAAGCUGGUCCACAAUCCUUAGGUACACAUAAUGGAGAAGUGUAUCCUAAUGCAAGCUACAACCUAAUGCAAG
Molecule: long non-coding RNA, 375 nt
Filed under: Olea europaea subsp. europaea
Lineage: Eukaryota; Viridiplantae; Streptophyta; Magnoliopsida; Lamiales; Oleaceae
Source: RNAcentral